Long non-coding RNA from Oncorhynchus keta (chum salmon), 185 nucleotides. RefSeq lists it as uncharacterized. The record is from RefSeq and is a predicted model, not a curated record. Lineage: Eukaryota; Metazoa; Chordata; Actinopteri; Salmoniformes; Salmonidae. The transcript has 3 exons.
AACAAAUAGCACUGUCACUAAGGUUGAGCUAACAAAUAGCACUGCCACUAAGGUUGAGCUAACAAAUAGCACUGUCACUAAGGUUGAGCUAACAAAUAGCACUGUCACUAAGGUUGAGCUAACAAAUAGCACUGUCACUAAGGUUGAGCUAACAAAUAGCACUGCCACUAAGGUUGAGCUAACAA